Molecule: ribosomal RNA, 243 nt
Filed under: uncultured bacterium
Lineage: Bacteria
Description: partial 16S ribosomal RNA
Rfam family: Bacterial small subunit ribosomal RNA
Source: RNAcentral
CGGACCGGCGCACGGGUGAGUAACGCGUAUGCAACUUACCUAUCAGAGGGGGAUAACCCGGCGAAAGUCGGACUAAUACCGCAUGAAGCAGGGGCCCCGCAUGGGGAUAUUUGUUAAAGAUUCAUCGCUGAUAGAUAGGCAUGCGUUCCAUUAGGCAGUUGGCGGGGUAACGGCCCACCAAACCGACGAUGGAUAGGGGUCUGAGAGGAAGGUCCCCCACAUUGGAACUGAGACACGGUCCAA